Molecule: transfer RNA, 76 nt
Filed under: Desulfobacterales bacterium
Lineage: Bacteria; Pseudomonadati; Thermodesulfobacteriota; Desulfobacteria; Desulfobacterales
Description: tRNA-Thr
Rfam family: tRNA
About the family: Transfer RNA (tRNA) molecules are approximately 80 nucleotides in length.
Source: RNAcentral
GCCAGCGUAGCUCAGCUGGUAGAGCUACUGAUUUGUAAUCAGUGGGUCGGGGGUUCAAGUCCCUCCGCUGGCUCCA